Long non-coding RNA from Arabidopsis lyrata subsp. lyrata, 601 nucleotides. RefSeq lists it as uncharacterized. The transcript has 2 exons. The record is from RefSeq and is a predicted model, not a curated record. Lineage: Eukaryota; Viridiplantae; Streptophyta; Magnoliopsida; Brassicales; Brassicaceae.
GGUUUUCCAAAAAAUUGAUUUCCCCGAAAGGGGCUGGAGAGAUUUAAAUCCUUUGUGUGUUUGUUCCUUCUCUGGGUCUUAAAUCAGGUUUGUUCUGAAUCGAGAAAUUAACACGAGCUAAGGAAUUGAGAUAUAUUUGGUUUUGUGUUCUUAUUUUUCGUUCGUGGGGGCUUGAUCUAAAUCCCAAGAGGCAUUCUCCAUAUUGUGACGAAUCUUGCCAUUCUUUUUGGAAUUUGUCACUGGUGAGGAGAGAUGUGGUGAAUGGAGAGAGGCGGUGGAUUUGAGAGGAGAGUUUCUUGGUUAUGUUGUUGAAAAGAUUGAACCUUUGCGUCAUGGGAUUGAGUCAUUUAGAUGAAGAUCGGGAUUAGUUUUGUCAUUUGUGUGAUCUUUGAAGUCUUGAGAAAAGAAAUAUCUUCCCUUCCCUGUAAAAGCUUUUCUUCUCCUUUUCUUUAGAGCUAGUUCUCUUUGGCUUCAGCUCUGGAUUUCUUUUCAUUCACUGUUUUCGAAUAUGAACCUAAGAUUUGUGUUUUCACAAUCUGAAUCUGUUUGUAUCUGGUUAAUAAUUGCGAAAUGAUAAACCUUGCAGUCCUUAGUACUGAAA